This 673-nucleotide ribosomal RNA is filed under the name Cystastrum externum. Its description in RNAcentral is "LSU rRNA". It matches the Rfam family "Eukaryotic large subunit ribosomal RNA", at positions 36 to 696 of the family's 3401-position model. The record is from RNAcentral. Lineage: Eukaryota; Fungi; Basidiomycota; Cystobasidiomycetes; Cystobasidiales; Cystobasidiaceae.
AAGCAUAUCAAUAAGCGGAGGAAAAGAAACUAACAAGGAUUCCCCUAGUAACGGCGAGUGAAGUGGGAAAAGCUCAACUUUGAAAUCUGGCACCUUCGGUGUCCGAAUUGUAGUCUCUAGAAGUGUUUUCCGUGCUGGCCCAUGUGUGAGUCUGUUGGAACACAGCGUCAUAGAGGGUGACAACCCCGUUCAUAACAUGGACCCCAGUGCUUUGUGAUACACUCUCGACGAGUCGAGUUGUUUGGGAAUGCAGCUCAAAUUGGGUGGUAAAUUCCAUCUAAAGCUAAAUAUUGGCGAGAGACCGAUAGCAAACAAGUACCGUGAGGGAAAGAUGAAAAGCACUUUGGAAAGAGAGUUAACAGUACGUGAAAUUGCUAAAAGGGAAACGAUUGAAGUCAGACGUGCGUGGUGCGGUUCAGCUCUGGUUCGCCAGAGUGUAUUCCGUGCCUUUGCAGGCCAACAUCGGUUUCACGAGGCGGAUAAAGGUUUGAGAAAUGUGGCACCUUCGGGUGUGUUAUAGUCUCUUGCUGAAUACGCCUCGAGGGACCGAGGAACGCAGCGCGCCGCAAGGCAAAGCCUCUGGGCUUUUCGCGCUUAGGAUGUUGGGUGAAAUGGCUUUAAACGACCCGUCUUGAAACACGGACCAAGGAGUCUAACAUGCUGCAGGUUUGGG